CCUGCAGGCGGAAAGCCACGCUGCCGGGCGAGAAGCCUGGGCCAAAGAAAGAUGACGACGUUUCCAGCCAGCAAGACGCCGCUGAACCCUCAGGUACUAGGACCCCGAGCCUGCCGAGCGACUCGGUGCGGAGGCCCUGGGAGAAGAACAGCUCCACCCUGCCCAGG
Molecule: long non-coding RNA, 167 nt
Organism: Terrapene triunguis (Three-toed box turtle)
Lineage: Eukaryota; Metazoa; Chordata; Testudines; Emydidae
Exons: 3
Source: RefSeq, a predicted model, not a curated record